Molecule: ribosomal RNA, 372 nt
Filed under: uncultured organism
Description: partial 16S ribosomal RNA
Rfam family: Bacterial small subunit ribosomal RNA
Source: RNAcentral
GUAGGUGGCAAGCGUUGUCCGGAAUUAUUGGGCGUAAAGCGCGCGCAGGCGGUUCUUUAAGUCUGAUGUGAAAGCCCACGGCUCAACCGUGGAGGGUCAUUGGAAACUGGAGAACUUGAGUACAGAAGAGGAAAGCGGAAUUCCACGUGUAGCGGCGAAAUGCGUAGAGAUGUGGAGGAACACCAGUGGCGAAGGCGGCUUUCUGGUCCGUAACUGACGCUGAGGCGCGAAAGCGUGGGGAGCAAACAGGGAUUAGAUACCCUGGUAGUCCACGCCAUAAACGAUGAGUGCUAAGUGUUAGGGGGUUUCCGCCCCCUUAGUGCUGCAGCUAACGCAUUAAGCACUCCGCCUGGGGAUACGGCCGCAAGGCUG